CAGCACCUCAAGUGGUCAGGAUGAUUAUUGGGCCUAAAGCAUCCGUAGCCGGCGCUGUAAGUUUUCGGUUAAAUCUGUACGCUCAACGUACAGGCUGCCGGGAAUACUGCAGCGCUAGGGAGCGGGAGAGGUAGACGGUACUCGGUAGGAAGGGGUAAAAUCCUUUGAUCUAUUGAUGACCACCUGUGGCGAAGGCGGUCUACCAGAACACGUCCGACGGUGAGGGAUGAAAGCUGGGGGAGCAAACCGGAUUAGAUACCCGAGUAGUCC
This 270-nucleotide ribosomal RNA is filed under the name uncultured archaeon. Its description in RNAcentral is "partial 16S ribosomal RNA". It matches the Rfam family "Archaeal small subunit ribosomal RNA", at positions 477 to 747 of the family's 1478-position model. The record is from RNAcentral.